UACGUAGGGUGCGAGCGUUAAUCGGAAUUACUGGGCGUAAAGCGUGCGCAGGCGGUUUUGUAAGUCUGACGUGAAAUCCCCGGGCUUAACCUGGGAAUUGCGUUGGAGACUGCAAGGCUGGAGUCUGGCAGAGGGGGGUAGAAUUCCACGUGUAGCAGUGAAAUGCGUAGAGAUGUGAAGGAACACCGAUGGCGAAGGCAGCCCCCUGGGUCAAGACUGACGCUCAUGCACGAAAGCGUGGGGAGCAAACAGG
Molecule: ribosomal RNA, 253 nt
Filed under: uncultured bacterium
Lineage: Bacteria
Description: partial 16S ribosomal RNA
Rfam family: Bacterial small subunit ribosomal RNA
Source: RNAcentral